RNAcentral lists this ribosomal RNA (583 nucleotides) under uncultured bacterium. Its description in RNAcentral is "bacterial SSU rRNA". It matches the Rfam family "Bacterial small subunit ribosomal RNA", at positions 28 to 592 of the family's 1533-position model. The record is from RNAcentral.
AACGAACGUUAGCGGCGCGCCUAACACAUGCAAGUCGGGCGAGAAAGGGAGCAUCCCCGGUACAGCGGCGCACGGGUGAGUAACACGUAGGUAAUCUGCCCUUGAGUUGGGGAUAACCUUCCGAAAGGAGGGCUAAUACCGAAUGAGACCACGGAGUCGAGAGGCUCUGAGGUCAAAGCCGGCCACUUCACGAAAGCUGGUGCUCGAGGAUGAGCCUGCGGCCCAUCAGCUAGUUGGUAGGGUAACGGCCUACCAAGGCAAAGACGGGUAGCUGGUCUGAGAGGAUGAUCAGCCACACUGGAACUGAGACACGGUCCAGACUCCUACGGGAGGCAGCAGUGGGGAAUCUUGCGCAAUGGGCGAAAGCCUGACGCAGCGACGCCGCGUGAGUGAUGAAGGCCUUCGGGUUGUAAAGCUCUGUGGAGAGGGAAGAAUAAGUGUUGGCUAACAUCCAGCAUGAUGACGGUACCUCUUUAGCAAGCACCGGCUAACUCUGUGCCAGCAGCCGCGGUAAGACAGAGGGUGCAAACGUUGUUCGGAAUUACUGGGCGUAAAGCGCGUGUAGGCGGCUUGGCAAGUCGGG